GACGUAGGGCGCGAGCGUUGUCCGGAAUUAUUGGGCGUAAGGAGCUCGUAGGCGGCUUGUCACGUCGGGUGUGAAAGCCCGGGGCUUAACCCCGGGUCUGCAUUCGAUACGGGCUAGCUAGAGUGUGGUAGGGGAGAUCGGAAUUCCUGGUGUAGCGGUGAAAUGCGCAGAUAUCAGGAGGAACACCGGUGGCGAAGGCGGAUCUCUGGGCCAUUACUGACGCUGAGGAGCGAAAGCGUGGGGAGCGAACAGG
This 253-nucleotide ribosomal RNA is filed under the name uncultured bacterium. Its description in RNAcentral is "partial 16S ribosomal RNA". It matches the Rfam family "Bacterial small subunit ribosomal RNA", at positions 524 to 776 of the family's 1533-position model. The record is from RNAcentral.